CUUUCUUGUAUUUUCAUCUUGUCACCCUGUAUUUAUUUAUUUUCCACCCACUUUUAAACUUAGUUACAUCUUUCAUGGUAAACAGGUUCUAGGGAGAUGGUUUGAUUAUGUAUCUUAAAUUCCCUCCCCUCAAUCUCUGUUUCCAUCUGCCAACUACCCUGUCUUGAAUAGAGCAGCUGCUGUGAGCCUGGAGCCUUUGGGCAAAUAAGAGUGUAUACAGUCCCUUGAUUUUACCAGAAGAUGGGAAAGAGAGCUUGCUUUGAUUUUCUUCCUGUAAUCCAGAUGAAGGUUUAGAGACGGGCAGCUGUGAAGCCUUCAGCAAAGGUCUGAACGGAAAGAACCUUGCUUUCAAAGAUACAUGGAUUUAGAGGAAAAGCGGUGCAGUUCAUAUGUAUGGUACUAGGAAGACUAGCUUCAGAGUACCUGUUUGGUUGCUGCAUGGUGGGCACAAUUCCACAUCUCCCUGUGAGGCUGGGGGAGGGGAAGUAAAUAGCAAAAAAACAAAAAAGACAUUGGAAGAGAUUUUCCUCCUGUCAUCUGUGAUGAGGAGUGGCAACUUGCUGGUUAGUAGAUAAUCAGCCUACAGAAGAGAGCUGCCUUCUAUUGCUCACAAGUUUGUUUCCGCUCAAGAGUAUCCCACAAUUUGAUUUAUGCUAAAUGGGGAGUGAGUGGACAAAGAAGAAUAUCUAAGGAAACCUAAAGAAAAAUAGCAUCUAGAGAGAACAGGAACACAGAAGAAAUGGAUGGUGAAAAAGAAUUGCUGGUGGAGAUGAAUGACAACUUUAAUUUUGAAAAAGCACCUGAGAAAAUUCAGUCAGUAUAAAAUAAACUUUCUAGCAAUUAAACUACAUUAAAAUGUGGUAGAAAAAGAGAGGCAUGGCCACUAUUGGGGACUAAAUAGUGGCCUUGGAUAUCAUGUAGAAGUAGUUAUCUUUGGAAAAGUAAAAAUCCAAAGACACGGAGAUUUCAAAAAUCAAAACACCUAGAAGACGAGUCUAAGAUAUUUAAUGUGAGUAAGUGAAGAACCACAAGGAGAAAAAGGGAAACGAUACAGGAGGGCACAAUUACUAAAUACUAUAGGAAACUUUAGUUCGAAAGGGCUCUCACUCUAAUAGGUUCCAAGCAACAUGGGUGGGGUUGGAGUGUGGGGACACACCUAGGCAGAUAAAUUUCAUUCAAAUAUUUAUUGUUACUUCCUGCAGUGACAAGUACUGUUUUAGUUGCUGGGAAUACAGGGUGAACAAAGCAAUGUUAGUUCCUUUAUUGGGUGGAAGGAAGUAAAUGAAUAAAUAUGUCUCAGGUGGUAAUAAGUAAUACAAAAAAAAAAAUAAAGCAUAGUAGAGUGACUAGGCUAUGUUGGGAUAAGGUAGUGGCAGGAUUUACUAUUUUAUAUGGAUGGUCAGAGACAUCUCAGAUAAGAUAUUUGAUCAGCAAUUUGAAGUGAGGUAUCUAGUGUGGUAAAUAUGUGGUGGUGGGGGGAGAGCAAGGGCAGGGGGAGCAGCAUUCCAGAUAGGGAACAGGAGGUUUAAGGCAGGCAGGAACAUACCUGCCAUUUAAAGGACCAUUAAGGAAUCCACUUGGCUAGUGUGGAGGGAGCAAGAAGAGUGAGCAAUGAGGGCAGAGGCAGUAGUGAACAAGAUUACGGAGCUUUGUAGAUGAAUGGAAGCCUUUUUGGCUUUAAUUUGCUGAUACAUAUGGGAAGCCAUUUGAGGAGCUGUAAGCAGAGGAGUGAUACGUGAUUUAAGAGUAAUUGACUCAACCUUCUUGUUGGUAGCAAAGGCAGAAGCUAGGACACCAGAUCAUUGGAUAUUGCAACAAUAUAGACAAGAAAUGACACAGGCUUGGACCCGUGUGGUAUCAGUGGAGUAAAACAAAUGGUGAGAUUCUGUAAAUAUUUUGAAAGUAGAUGGAUAGGAUUACAAUGUGUGAGAUACAAAUCAAAAACACUUCUUUUUUUUUUUUUUCCCCUCAGUAACAGGAUGGAGUUUCUGUUUAUACUGUGAUGGGGAGGAUUGUGUAAGGAUCAGAUUUUGCAGUGGUAGCAGCUGGAGGAAUCAAUUUAGUUUCGGAAUGUUGAGUUUGAGAUGCUAUUAAACAUGGAGGAGAUAUUCAAAUUCUUGAAUUUCAGGGUAAAAAGAG
This 2139-nucleotide long non-coding RNA is filed under the name Homo sapiens (human). RNAcentral describes it as "HSALNT0019355". Lineage: Eukaryota; Metazoa; Chordata; Mammalia; Primates; Hominidae. The record is from RNAcentral.